RNAcentral lists this long non-coding RNA (1179 nucleotides) under Canis lupus familiaris (dog). Its description in RNAcentral is "lncRNA (ENSCAFG00030024466.1)". The record is from RNAcentral. Lineage: Eukaryota; Metazoa; Chordata; Mammalia; Carnivora; Canidae.
AUGCUGCCCUCCGCGCCCCGACCCUGCCGGCGGUGCUGCCCCCCGCGCCCCGACCCUGCCGGGGAUGCUGCCCUCCGCGCCCCGACCCUGCCGGGGAUGCUGCCCCCCGCGCCCCGACCCUGCCGGGGAUGCUGCCCUCCGCGCCCCGACCCUGCAGGGGAUGCUGCCCCCCGCGCCCCGACCCUGCCGGCGGUGCUGCCCCCCGCGCCCCAACCCUGCCGGGGAUGCUGCCCUCCGCGCCCCGACCCUGCCGGCGGUGCUGCCCCCCGCGCCCCGACCCUGCCGGGGAUGCUGCCCUCCGCGCCCCGACCCUGCCGGGGAUGCUGCCCUCCGCGCCCCGACCCUGCAGGGGAUGCUGCCCCCCGCGCCCCGACCCUGCCGAUGGUGCUGCCCCCCGCGCCCAGACGGAGCCCCUCGCAGCGGCCGCGGCCGAGCACAGGGGCCGGGCGGACUCUGCGCCCCGACAGCAGUCCCCGACCCGGACCCGCAGGGCCCCCGGCAGCGGCCCCCGCAGCGCAGCCCGCGCGGUUCCCGGCUGCAGGGCGGACGCGGGCGAAGCGCGGGAGGGAAGAGCGUCCGCGGCGGCCGAGCCCAGCAGCCCCAGCCCAGGGGAGCCGCGAGCCCGCACGGCCCCGCACGCCGCCGCCCCCGCGAGCCGGGAUGAAGGUCAGCGCCGGGUCCCCCCGCCCCGCACCGGCCGGACGCGGGCUCCGGGACGGGCUCCGGGGAGGAGGCCCCGCCACGCGCCGACAUACCUGCUGCCUGGGCCGGGAUCCGCUCUGCUCUGCGGCGGCGCGGCUCGCGCUCUCGGGCCCCCGGGCUCCCGGCUCCGGGCCGCGGCCUCCGCUCCUCCGCCCCCCGCGCUCGGGGCGCGCGCGGCCUCGUCCUCCGGCUCCCGGGCCCGCGCCUGCGCCCUCGCUCCGCCGCCCGCGCCCCGCGCGCCCGCGCCCCGCUCCUCCGCGCGCACGCGCCCCGGCGGCCGUCCCGGAGCCCGCGGGGGGAGGGGGAGGGGGAGGGGGGGAGGGGAGGGAGGGGAGGGCGCGCUCCGUGCAGCCCGCACAGCUCCCGCAGGUGUUGGCUCCGUCCCGCUGUGCCCCGGGGCCUCUGACCCCCGGUGCCCGCUGUCAGGGCCCGCCUGCCGGGCCUCGGCCGGGACCCCCGGACGCCCGCGCUCCUUAG